Molecule: unclassified non-coding RNA, 347 nt
Filed under: soil metagenome
Description: partial contains 5.8S ribosomal RNA, internal transcribed spacer 2, and large subunit ribosomal RNA
Rfam family: 5.8S ribosomal RNA (bases 1-120)
Source: RNAcentral
GAUGAAGAACGUAGUAAAAUGCGAUAAGUAAUGUGAAUUGCAGAAUUCAGUGAAUCAUCGAAUCUUUGAACGCACAUUGCGCCCGCUGGUAUUCCGGCGGGCAUGCCUGUUCGAGCGUCAUUUCAACCCUCAAGCCCCCCGGGUUUGGUGUUGGGGAUCGGCUCUGCCUCACGGCGGUGCGGCCCCCGAAAUACAUUGGCGGUCUCGCUGCAGCCUCCAUUGCGUAGUAGCUAACACCUCGCAACUGGAACGCGGCGCGGCCAUGCCGUAAAACCCCAACUUCUGAAUGUUGACCUCGGAUCAGGUAGGAAUACCCGCUGAACUUAAGCAUAUCAAUAAGCGGAGGA